UCUUCAUUUCUCGUGCUCUCUCGCUUCUCUGACAGGUGAGAGAGUGUGGGAAAUGAGGAGA
Molecule: non-coding RNA, 61 nt
Organism: Pristionchus pacificus
Lineage: Eukaryota; Metazoa; Nematoda; Chromadorea; Rhabditida; Neodiplogasteridae
Source: Rfam